GAAUUAGUAUUUUCUCUCACUCUUCUUUUUCUACUUGGAUGACUGGUUCCUGAGAUUCAUACAGCUCAUUUCCACAAACUGGGCAUGUUGUUAUUAUAAUUCAUGAGGUUUUUUGACGUUCUUCAUAUAUGCUCUGGUGCUUCAUCUCUAAACUGUAACCGCGUUCGCGGUAGUAGGGUGCUGUAUUCUCUUUAACUAUUUUAGUAGGGUGUUAUAUUCUGUUUAAAGAUUUUAGUCAGUUUCCAUUGUCCUGUUUAUCCAGCUAGCCUUGUAUUUCCAGUAGUUAUAAUUACUUUAGUUUAGUUUAAAGAUGAUAUUGUAAGAUAUUCUUGGAAAAUAUGGGCAUGUCUUGUACAUGUGUGGUUAAUAUAUCCAUAUUUUGAGCCCUACAACAUAAAGAACAGGUGAAGUUCUGAUUGCUUGAUGACUAUGCUGAUGAUACAUCGGUCAGGUGUUGUGACAAAAUGGUGUAACUUUACCUUGCCCUUAAUUCCUGAAAGAUCUGAACAUGAGUGUUGGGCAUUCAUGUUUGAUGUGACUCCCAUUUAAGUGUCUCAAUAUUUCAUUGUUGUGGCACCACAGAAAGUAAAUAACAAUUUCAGUGUUUUCCACAAAUUAAGUUUGUGGCAGUAUGGAUGUUGUGACUCCUUUUCUUGUAUAGUGAAAAUGGGACUCAUUGGUUUUAAUCUUUAACCCCUCACCCUGAAUUUAUAGGUUUUAAUCUUAAAUACCUAACCCUAAUCCAAAUAGAAAGUAGGAAGUUCCAUAUUCAAAAAUGGCGGGCGAUGGUAUCCUGGGCUAUCCUGACUUGGUAAAGGUUGUUCUGGCUUUAUAACUGUUGAAUGUAAGCUCAUCCGUUCUGGCUUGGUAAAGACGGUCAAAAAUAU
Molecule: long non-coding RNA, 887 nt
Organism: Patella vulgata (common limpet)
Lineage: Eukaryota; Metazoa; Mollusca; Gastropoda; Patellidae
Exons: 4
Source: RefSeq, a predicted model, not a curated record